UUCAGCAGAAGCAACUGUUACAGGUAUUGUUAAUAAUAUCCUAUAUGCAAUGCAUGCAUUUGGAAAAGAAUCUGUUUUUUUAUAAACUUAAAAUAUCAAUAAGGGUACUAGUUUCUGUUUGUAAAAAUUCAAAAUUUUUAACUCUGAAAACAGAUCAAUACCAUCAAUAUCAGAAUAUUCACCAUGCUUUAAAAAGUUUUCAAGAUUAAGACAACAUUUUUUCAAAUCAUCUUCAUUCAAAGAUUUGAACUUUCUAAAAUUAAACAAAAAACUAAAAACAUUUUCAUAUACGGUAAAUUGUUCAAACCUAUUUUGAAUUGAAAAAAUAGCUUGAUCUACUAUAUAUAAAAAGUAAUCAAUUCUAAAAGAUUCUUCACCUGAUCUUGUUAUCUCAUCAUCAUUAUUUUCAUCAAAAUAUUUUUUUUCUACGGAUCACACGUUUUUCACAAAAUAUAGGUUCUAUUUUCAUUUCAUUUACAAUUUCUUUAGAUGAAUUCAAAGCAUUCAUGAAUCCAUUUUCCCUAUAACUUUUCAAAUAAGAAAGAAGACCUUUUAAUUGAUCUAUAGCAACAUCAAUAUGCAUGUCUUCAGAUUGUAAAAUCUUACUAACUGAGUUAACAGCAAACAAUAUAUCGUACCAAAUAUUCAUGCCUAAUAAAAAUUCAAAAUUUUCAAUCUCAUAUGUAGCUAAACAUGUGGCUUCACUCUUUAUUUUAGGAUCUUCACUAGUUU
This 732-nucleotide long non-coding RNA is filed under the name Phoenix dactylifera (date palm). Its description in RNAcentral is "long non-coding RNA (PDAC_LNC016995)". The record is from RNAcentral. Lineage: Eukaryota; Viridiplantae; Streptophyta; Magnoliopsida; Arecales; Arecaceae.